Molecule: long non-coding RNA, 726 nt
Filed under: Anser brachyrhynchus (Pink-footed goose)
Lineage: Eukaryota; Metazoa; Chordata; Aves; Anseriformes; Anatidae
Description: lncRNA (ENSABRG00000009734.1)
Source: RNAcentral
CAGCAUGCCCCGUGGGCGAGCCUGGACGCAGGCGGAGGUCAGCAGCCUCCUGGCGCUGGUGGGAGGCUCAGGGGAGGCCGCCCUGCUGAUGGCCUCCACGUCGCGGCCCAACGAGGCGCUGUGGCAGGAGAUCUCCCAGGGGCUGGCGGCGGCCGGCUACGGCCGCAGCGUGGCCCAGUGCCGCUCCAAGUGGAAGGCGCUGAAGCAGGCUUUCCACUCGGAGCGGGAGACGCGCCGCCGUGCCGGGCGGCACUCACCGCGCCUGCCCCCGCACUACCGCGCCAUGAAGAGUAUCUGGAAGGCAGCCGGGCGGCCCGUUUUCGGAGAGCGGCGGCUGCCCGAGCUGGUGAAGCCGCCCCCCCGGAGGCGCAGGUCGCUGGCCGCACGCUCGCCGACCUCGCCGGCACCGCCAGCUGCUGCAGAGACCCCCGCUGUGCUGCUGGCACCGCUGCUGCAGCACCCAAAGGACGAGCCGGAGAGCCCCCGCGGGGACCGCGUCGCUGGAGCAUCGCCCGACCCCGCGGCCGCCCCACGUACCAGCUGCUGCAUCCCUCCCCAUCCCCUCCUGGGCUGCCACGGCGCCCUGAAAGAGGAGAGCGCCGAGCUGAAGGCAGGUUUUCCUGGUGAGACGUCCCCGGGGAUGGGAAGAGGAAACCGAGCGCUGCCGGCGGCCACCGCAGCCCCCGGCUCCCCCGGGACGGCCGCUGCGAGCGAGCAGGCGGUGGG